GACGAACGCUGGCGGCGUGCUUAACACAUGCAAGUCGAACGGAAAGGCCCCUUUGGGGGUACUCGAGUGGCGAACGGGUGAGUAACACGUGAGUAACCUGCCCUUGACUUCGGGAUAACUUCAGGAAACUGGGGCUAAUACCGGAUAGGAAUCCUUGCUGCAUGGUGGGGGUUGGAAAGCUUCGGCGGUUUUGGAUGGACUCGCGGCUUAUCAGCUUGUUGGUGGGGUAGUGGCUUACCAAGGCUUUGACGGGUAGCCGGCCUGAGAGGGCGACCGGCCACAUUGGGACUGAGAUACGGCCCAGACUCCUACGGGAGGCAGCAGUGGGGAAUAUUGCACAAUGGGCGGAAGCCUGAUGCAGCAACGCCGCGUGCGGGAUGACGGCCUUCGGGUUGUAAACCGCUUUCAGCAGGGGCGAAGCUUGUGGUGACGUUACCUGCAGAAGAAGCACCGGCUAACUACGUG
Molecule: ribosomal RNA, 465 nt
Filed under: uncultured bacterium
Lineage: Bacteria
Description: partial 16S ribosomal RNA
Rfam family: Bacterial small subunit ribosomal RNA
Source: RNAcentral